CGUCUUCAGGGCAGGGUGCAAUUCCCGAUUGGCGGUACAGUCCGCAAGCGCGCAGGCGCAGACCCGGUGUAACUCCGGGACCAACAGUAUAGUCUGGAUGAAAGAAGAUG
RNAcentral lists this non-coding RNA (110 nucleotides) under Candidatus Pullichristensenella stercorigallinarum. Its description in RNAcentral is "FMN riboswitch (RFN element)". It matches the Rfam family "FMN riboswitch aptamer (RFN element)". Rfam says of the family: The RFN element is a highly conserved domain that is found frequently in the 5'-untranslated regions of prokaryotic mRNAs that encode for flavin mononucleotide (FMN) biosynthesis and transport proteins. The record is from RNAcentral. Lineage: Bacteria; Bacillati; Bacillota; Clostridia.